RNAcentral lists this ribosomal RNA (254 nucleotides) under uncultured bacterium. RNAcentral's name for it is "partial 16S ribosomal RNA". It matches the Rfam family "Bacterial small subunit ribosomal RNA", at positions 524 to 776 of the family's 1533-position model. The record is from RNAcentral.
UACGUAGGGGGGCAAGCGUUGUCCGGAAUCAUUGGGCGUAAAGCGCGUGUAGGCGGUCCGGUAAGUCCGCUGUAAAAGUCGGGGGCUCAACCCUCGGAUGCCGGUGGAUACUGUCGGGCUUGAGUACGGAAGAGGCGAGUGGAAUUCCUGGUGUAGCGGUGAAAUGCGCAGAUAUCAGGAAGAACACCCGUGGCGAAGGCGGUUCUCUGGGACGGUACUGACGCUGAGACGCGAAAGCGUGGGGAGCGAACAGG